UGAAAUUGUAGUUUUACAUUAAGUUGGUUAAAUUGACUAUUUUUAAUAUAAAUUAAUUUUAGUUUGUAUGUUUUUAAUUGUGAAUUCGAUUUUUUUUGGUGUGUUUGUUGUUAUUUUGAUUUUCUAUGUUUUUAUUUUAAGUUUACUGAAUUUUAGUUUUUAAAAAUUGUUAUGUUUAAAAGAUUUAUUUUGUAUAUUUAAAAAAAAAGGUAGAUAGCAUGACAAGUAUGACAACCUGCACCUACCGAAUGGCAACUUUUGAUAAGAAUGUCCAAAGUGUACCACACCCACCAGCCAUAUGGGUAAACGCGGCUAUUAAACUCGUAUUGGAGUGUUGGAUUAUCAAUCUCAUCGAUGAUUCUUCAAUCGGGGUAGGAAAUCAAGGGCACGAAAACUAAAAUCACAUUGAAAAACGAAGAUGCAAUAAUCACAAUGUAGAAGACGAUGAGUUUCCUAUCGGUUUUUAAGUUCUGCUACAGUGCUACUAUUGACUUUUUAAUCUGAAGAGUGAAGAGUGAAGACAAGAGUUCAAGACUUCAGAAUUGGAGUUCAAAGUUUGCUCCAGGCUUCUAGAGGUUUAUUUUUCUCUCUCAGUAUGCCCAAAUUCUUUGAGUUCUUGGCCGGCUUCGCAAUUAUAAAUCGAAAUUUUUUGGAGACUUAGAGGUCAAAUUAUAAGGAAUUUUUAUUUCAUGGCUUUCUUGGUAAACGUUAUAUAUAUAUAUAUAUAUAUAUAUAUAUAUAUAUAUAUAUAUAUAUAUAUAUAUGUUUUUUAUUUGAUUAGUUUGAUGUUUUAAAUACUAAGUUUUGAAUUUUUAAUAUUUAAAGUAAUAUGUCUGAAUAUGUUGUGAUUUUGAAACCUAAUGUCACCUGAGUACUUGACCAUUUAAAUAUUUGGAGUUCAAAACUACUUCUAUAAUUCUAUAAAGCAUUCAUUUUUUUGGUUAUUUUAGUUUCAUGAUGGUAGACACAACUAAAAUAGUAUAUCUACCAUCUUUCUCUAAUAUACAGUUAAGAACUUGAUUAACAUAUAAGUAUUACCGGUUAUAUAUUUAGUCCUUAAAAGUUUAAAUUUGAUUAUUCCUCUUUAUUUAAUCAAUUAUUAAUAUCUUGUUUUGUUUUUAAGUUAGAAAGACUUGAGGCUUUGUUAUUAUAGAUAUUGUGAAUUUAAUCAAUUAUUAAUAUCUUGUUUUAUUUUUUAGUUAGAAAGUCUUGAGGCUUUGUUAUUGUAGAUAGUUUGAGCUAGAUUUUCAAUCGGCGGAAAUGUAUAAUGUAUUGGUAGUGUAUUUACUUUUGAAGAGGAUCAAUGUAAUGUUGUAUUAAUAUGAACUUUAAUUAAUUAAAAAUUUUACUGUGCUUAUGUUUAAUAAAUUUAUGUUAUGUAAACUUUUGGUGCAUCGUUCAAUACAAAUAUAUGGGCAUCAUUUCAUCAUCUCGCCCCAGGUAUGAAAAAUCAAUGGACCAGCCGUGGUUUUGCAUAUAGUAACAAAAUAAAAUCUUACAAAAUCUAUUCUAAAACUAUUUUUGUAAACUACAUCAAUUCGCUCCAUAACUGUUUACAUAAAUUAAUUCUUACAUUGUUUCAACAAUUAUAUUGAGUGAUUUCCUUAUAUACAGAUUUAGAAAUCAACAAUAUCAUUAUAUAUGUAUGAUAUAACCAAAAACAGACACUACAAAAAACAUAUAGAAAUGAGUGACAUUUCAUCUGCUUCUAGAAAAAAAAGCGUAAAAUGUUGUGAGUUAUGUUUUACCACACACCUAUUGCCCAAAUCCCAACCAAAUGCCUACACCAUUAAACCGAUUGUCUGUAUCAGAAAAUUGCAAUCAUAUUUCUCCUUACCUCUUACACCUCUUACAGACUCCAACGAAUAU
This is a non-coding RNA of Lactuca sativa (garden lettuce), 1869 nucleotides long. The record is from RefSeq and is a predicted model, not a curated record. Lineage: Eukaryota; Viridiplantae; Streptophyta; Magnoliopsida; Asterales; Asteraceae.